RNAcentral lists this ribosomal RNA (466 nucleotides) under Vreelandella stevensii. RNAcentral describes it as "partial 16S ribosomal RNA". It matches the Rfam family "Bacterial small subunit ribosomal RNA", at positions 338 to 795 of the family's 1533-position model. The record is from RNAcentral. Lineage: Bacteria; Pseudomonadati; Pseudomonadota; Gammaproteobacteria; Oceanospirillales; Halomonadaceae.
CCUACGGUGGGGCUGCAGUGGGGAAUAUUGGACAAUGGGCGAAAGCCUGAUCCAGCCAUGCCGCGUGUGUGAAGAAGGCCUUCGGGUUGUAAAGCACUUUCAGUGGGGAAGAAAGCCUUGGGGCUAAUACCCUCGAGGAAGGACAUCACCCACAGAAGAAGCACCGGCUAACUCCGUGCCAGCAGCCGCGGUAAUACGGAGGGUGCGAGCGUUAAUCGGAAUUACUGGGCGUAAAGCGCGCGUAGGCGGUCUGAUAAGCCGGUUGUGAAAGCCCCGGGCUAAACCUGGGAACGGCAUCCGGAACUGUCAGGCUAGAGUGCAGGAGAGGAAGGUAGAAUUCCCGGUGUAGCGGUGAAAUGCGUAGAGAUCGGGAGGAAUACCAGUGGCGAAGGCGGCCUUCUGGACUGACACUGACGCUGAGGUGCGAAAGCGUGGGUAGCAAACAGGAUUAGAUACCCGAGUAGUC